RNAcentral lists this long non-coding RNA (3662 nucleotides) under Homo sapiens (human). RNAcentral describes it as "non-protein coding lnc-SRGAP2C-5:1". Lineage: Eukaryota; Metazoa; Chordata; Mammalia; Primates; Hominidae. The record is from RNAcentral.
GCGGCGUUUUGCCCCCGCCGCCACGGCUUUUUGCCGCUGUCGCCGCCGCUUUUUGCCCCCGCCGCCGCGGCUUUUUGCUGCCGCGACUUUUUGCCCCGGUCGCCGCCGCUUUUUGUCACCGCGACUUUUUGCCCCCGCCACCGAGGAUUUUUGUCCCCGCCGCCACGGCUCUGAGGGCAGGAGCGGCAGACUCGGCUGCCAGCUCUACUGGCGUCCUGGCAAGGGCAGCGCCGAGGGGUGCUCCUGGUCCAGCUCUCCUGGCUCAGGGAUUCUUUGCCUAGGCGCCGGCGCCCCGGGCUCCUUGCCUAGGCCCCUGUGGCCUGCAUAGAGUGGCGCUGCCUGUGGAGGCGGUGGGAGAGAAGAAGGAGGGCGGUGGUGGGGGUGAUGCGGCGGCCACGGAGGGUGGCACAGGGGCUGCGGCCAGCCGGGCGCUGCAGCAGUGCGGGCAGCUCCAGAAGCUCAUCGUCAUCUUCAUUGGCAGCCUGUGCGGGCUGUGCACCAAGUGCGCUGUGUCUAACGACCUCACCCAGCAGGAGAUACAGACCCUGGAGCUAGGUGAUGAUAUUCUGAUCUAUGAGAUGCAAGAAGAUGUGAUGUGUGGGACAUCCAUGAAAACUGAUUAAUGAGACCUGACACAAAUUAGAGAUCAAGCCCACUACGACCACCACCAUUUUUCUCUUCUAUCCUAUUUUUUUGUGACCUCUAGCAUGACCAUGAUGCCAAGAUCUCUAGCAGCCACAUAGUGACCUGAGGUAAAUCUGAGUAUGAAAAUCAUGUGCCAGGAUGGUGUAGAAAGAGGGUUUUGGAUCCUAUUGACAAUGGAAAGUUGGUCUUCCUACCUCUGAACCUCUUUAUGUAAGAGAAGUAACCUGAGUUUUAAAAGCCAUUAUUAUUUCCAUUUUCUCUGCUGAUGCAGACAAACACAAGUCCUAAUUUUAUAGAGACCUAAUACGUUCUGGACCUCAGAAAGAGAUUCCUGGAGGAAAUGUUGUUUUCAACCACUAACUCUGCUAAUUUCAGGCCAAGUGAGGCAUUAUAUAGACAGUCUGACCACUGCCACAGUUGCAUACGUUCUAAAUUUGAAAUAAAUCCCUUACUCUGUAUCACUUAUAGUGGAUCUGCUUCUCUGAUAAAACCCUCACUAAGACAAUUAUCAUCCACUGUUUGUUUUUCCUGUGGUAAGUAUAUCAUUGCUGUAUAAAAAUAACCUUUUAAUUAUUAACUCAGUUGGCCCAGUUUAGCAUCUUUUCCAUCUUCCAUUCUCAAUUUGAUAAUUACCAUCUUUCAUAAUAAUUAUCCUUCAGGUUUCACAAUACAUGUAUGUUGAAUGUUAAGGCUAUUCUUCAUUGAUAUUUACACUUUGACUCCAUGGUGAGAGAAGCUGCAGUAUCUGAGAAAUAAAUAAUUUGUAUGUGGGAGGUGUGAUUUUACAGCUAGAUUAUAGCUCAGUUUCUAGUUCUUUCUUUUAGAGAGAUUUCUCUUGGUCAUCUUUAUAGAGGUAUGAAGAUAUUUAGUUUUACUGUUAUUAUAUUAACAUUUUAAAAAGCAGCUUUCUACAAGGUAUGGCAUCAGGUGGAAUUAUUCUUGCUGUGCUCUCAAAUAAUCUCCAUGCUAAGUUUUUGGGCCUCACUGCAGCCCCUGAACACGUAUGUCUCUCUGUACCUCCUCUGUAUGAUGUAGUGAAUUUUUUGGACCUUUGAAUCACACACAGGCUUUCUUGGCUGUUUUAUACCAAAGGACUUUCACUAAAUUCCUAAGAAAAAUUUAGCACAGCCGAUGCUGUUUUCCAAUGCCAACCUUGGAGUUUGCAAUUUGCCCAGACAAAAAUACCAUAGCUGAUGGUGAUGAUGAUGUCAAUAUUUUUUUAAAAUACAAUUUAAAAAAUGGUUCAACAUAAAUUAUCUCAUUUAGUCCCCUGAACAACCUUGUGAUGUGAUUUUGAACAGGAAUAUCAAGACCUCAGGAUCUGGCAUCAAAUUCUGGGGUUUGAAUAUUAUUUCUAUCACAAACUAUUUAUAUUACUGCUUAUAUGUAAGUGACAACCUUUCUAUUCCUUAUUUUUUCCACUUGUAAAAUCAGAAAAAUGACAAUGAUGAGAGCACCAAACUUAUGAGCUUGCGAAGAUUAAAUGUGUGUAUGGGUUUUUAUCAGUUUGAGAGACAUUAUAUUUCCAUUUGUUGUCAUUCUGUCCCUUCCAUCAGGGUAGGACCUUUCUUCAGUGCAUUACUUUGUCCCCUGAACCUAGAAUGGUACCUGGAAUAUCAUUGGUGCCCAAUAAGUACUUGCUGAAUAAAUGACUGAAUAAAUAAAUGUAAUCUGUCAAUAUUUUCAUCUGAAGAUAUGAUAUCUGUUUUUUACCUUAUUUUUUCAAUCAUCCGAAAGGUAGUAUGCACAUUUGAAAGGUAGUCAUUGUUAUUUUCUUACACCAGUACUUGCACUUUUACAAUAUGUAGCAAUAAUCAUAAGCAAAGUAUCAUGACAGAGUGAGAAUAAACUUAAAUCUGUAAUUGCAAUUUUUCUUCACCGUGGCCUCCAUUGUUUGUCAUGUGUCUUGGCUACGUCAGGAUGGAAAGCAUUGCUUUUUUCUAUUUACAGGACCAGAAUUAAAUCCAUGUUUCUUGGCUGACCAUUUGGUUAGUUUUUGUUUGUUCAUUUGUUUUUUCAUGAAAUGUUCAUGGUGGUUGGGCUGGAAUAGGUAUAGCAUUUUAUUUAUUUAUACUCAGCUGAAACUAAGAGAAAUAUUUCAGACCAAGAAGUGGGGACAAGAGCAAUACUUGUGUAAUAAUACGAUGUACCAUUUUACAUUAUUUGGAAGUGCUGAUGCCUGCAUCUAUAGCAUCAGUCAAGAAAGAGAGGUAAUGAAAGAGAUUUCAAAUGAAUAUCAGAUAGGCUUUAGUAUUACAUAGGAUAAGACAGACAGGAUUGGUCAGGGUAUGCUGGAAAAGAUUUUUUAUCUUAUUUUAUUGGCUUUAUUUAAAUUUUUUUUUUUUUCCCAGCUGGAAAUCUAUUUAUUUAUUUUUCUUCAGUGUUACAAUGAAACAACAUUGCUUUAUUUAAAUUUUAUAAAAAUUCAAACCAUACAGUACUUUAUAAUAAAAUUGACUGCCUUUGGCUACUCUAUCUCUAUUUCCAGUGCAACUGUGGAAGUGGCACUGACAGAUAUGGUUUUAGCUACUUAGAAAUUUUUCUAGACACACACACACACACACACACACACACACACAAUUUAUAUGCAAAAUGCUCAUAUGCAUGUCAUAUUUUUUCUUUAUUCAGCAAGUUAUAGUGGAUAUUCUUUUAUAGCAUACGUAGCAAUGGACUUCUCUUUUUAAAGACUGCCUAGAAUUCUGUAGUUAUAAUACAGUCAUUCAUGUAACUAAUUCUCUAAAAACAAGCCAGAUGAUAUUUACUAAGAACUUACUAUGGGUCAGGCACAGCUCUAAUAGUCUAAUCUCAUCUAAUCUCAAUACGUUCAUGAGUUAGGAAUGGUUGUUAUUCCCAUAUGUUCCCAAUGAGGAAACUGAAGCAGAGAGUUUAAAUAAUGUGCCCUAAUUUACAGAAUUAUUAAACUGGUACUGGAAUUAUGCAAAGAUAAUCAGGCAUCAGAGUUUGUGAUGUCAACUGUUAUGUGAUACUGCAAUAAACGUUGUAUAAACCUCUGUAAA